GACGAUGAAACUUAAGGGUAAAAGUUAGCCAAACAUAUCAAAAAAAAAUAAAAAUAAGGCAACAAAAGAAAGGCUGAGAAACAUUAGACUCCUAUAUAUGGGACUCCAAGCAUUGCAGUGAUCCUAAUUGCUGUUGGCCUAAUAUUUUAGGCCAAAACGAGUUCCAAAGUAGAAACUUCAGCUCUCCGGUUGUACAUGAAACAUAAGAAAAAUAAAGAGAUAAAGAUUAGUGUCUUAAUUCCAGACGAAUUAAAUAAAUAAUGAGUAUGAUGCUUGUAAGGAUCAUAAGCAAGUCAGAUGUAAUACACUCAUAUACAGAACUAGUCGUGGCAUGCCAGAAAAUGAUGUCCUCAAUUACAAAACUAAAAUGUGUCUAUAUCCUCUCAUACAUGCUUGGAAACAAUAUCAUGCUUAAGUGCAAUUUCAUGGGGGGCACGUGAUACUAUCUCUACAUAUUAUGAAAUAGAAAAGUUCUACUAGCCCCAUCACUAAAAAUUUAGCCAUCAAACCGAGUCAAGCAUGCAAAAUGUUGUUAAUGAGAUAAUGGUCAUUCAUGGUAUUAAAUCUUAUAAGUUUAAUUCCUAGUCUGCUCUACUUCAAAAUGUGAGUGACCAUUCAAACCAAUACUUAAAAGUAAAGUUUGUUUACUUCAACUUAAUGCUCAUAAGAUUAAAAGAUAAAAGUCUAUAAAUUUCAACAACCAAUUAUACAGAAAGAAGGUCACAUCUAGCAACACAAAAUUGUUACCAAUUCUUUUCAUUUGUUAGUCCAAAGAGGAAUACAAACUAUUCUGGACAAAGCACAUUUUGGAUAAUGAUUGGAACCUUAGAUGGUGAACUUAACCUAUACAUUAUGAAUGUAAUCAAGUAUAUAUGGGUCCUAUUACAACACUUAACAGAUACGGGGGACAUAGUAAGCUUAAACAACAUUUUUCAAAGGAACAGAGAAAGAAACAGUAAAGGGGAUGCCGAUUAUUCAAAUAAGGAUUGUCAAUAAUCAGAUGGCUAAAACUUGCAUAAUAAAAUGAUCACAUUAUUGACCCAAAUGAAACAGCCAUGUCAAACCACAUACCAUUACUAAAAAUGACCAUUGUAUUUAAGGAAGAAGAAACAAUCUUAGAAUCAGAAUCUUGUCACUUUCCGAACGAAAAUAGCCAUUGGCAUCGAAUCAUGUCAUGUAUAGAAAUGAGAAAAUCAACUAGAAAUCACAGAAAAAAAUAAACAAAAGAAUCGCACACUACUCUUAGUAAAUAUUGAAGCAAACUUCUAAUGAGCUCAUAAAUAUUUCGCAACUACUUAAUAUGAAACUUAACGGAAACACCAUUUUAUACUUCUUUAAUAAGUUAUGUCAAGACGAACUAAAUGUCUUAGGGUUAUAAAAAAAAGGGAGAGGUAAUCUCGUUAAAACGAUAAUCAAACAAGUAGAAGGAUAUAUCAAAACAAACACACUCAACUUAGGCUCGACCGGACAGAUUUAAGAUGUACAACAAUAGAGGACAUACUAACAUUUUUUGUUAAAAAGAGACCAGCUGCAGAACAGUCAAUCUAUAGACCCAUUUCUUGAAGCAGGUUUAAACAAAGAAAUCUCAACACAGAUCAUGAAGAUGCAAACGAUU
Molecule: long non-coding RNA, 1615 nt
Filed under: Solanum tuberosum (potato)
Lineage: Eukaryota; Viridiplantae; Streptophyta; Magnoliopsida; Solanales; Solanaceae
Description: long non-coding RNA (STUB_LNC004056)
Source: RNAcentral